AUGGAUCCCGUUGCCGCAGGGUUUAUUCUUGGUUCGACGAGGGUUCAUGAUGUCAUUGCCCUUCACUCCUCUGUGGUCACUGCGUUGCCUGAUGAGGUUCGGUAUGCUAAUGGUGUGGUAGCUGGUGUUGACAAGGUUGGACAAAUUAAUGGCGAUGUUACAAUUCUGUAUGCAAAGCGCAUGGGCAGUCCACUCCCACCAAUUGGAUUUGCAGAUCUCUCUCCCAAUGAAAAUGAAUGUGAAAAAGUGGUGACCUUGUUCCCAUACAAGGCCGGAACCGCAAUUUUCAAGGGACAUAUCGUGUUAAAAGAUUCCACAUCCAUGACGUCUGGGGUCGAUGCGGUGGUCUUGCAAGCAUCCGUAGGCACGUUUGCCUUUAGCUGCCCUUACGCCGCCGCUUACUCCACAAAGAACAUGUAUGAACUACUUGAGACGCAGGCUCUAACUGUUGGUGCAGCUGUAUUCAAUCUACAGGGCAGGGUCGUAGGUGUGCUGAGUGCAUGUGGUAUGACUUAUGAUGUGAAAUUGGCGAACAAGACAGGAUACCUGAGUGAUCUGUUUCUGAGACUCCAAAACAAUCAAGUGGAUGUGAACUGGCUGAAGGGGGAAGAUGUACGCUAUUAG
RNAcentral lists this ribosomal RNA (624 nucleotides) under Triticum aestivum (bread wheat). RNAcentral's name for it is "partial small subunit ribosomal RNA". The record is from RNAcentral. Lineage: Eukaryota; Viridiplantae; Streptophyta; Magnoliopsida; Poales; Poaceae.